This 559-nucleotide unclassified non-coding RNA is filed under the name Hevea brasiliensis (rubber tree). The record is from RNAcentral. Lineage: Eukaryota; Viridiplantae; Streptophyta; Magnoliopsida; Malpighiales; Euphorbiaceae.
UUCACAAGAAGCAACAAUAGCCACAAAAUGAAUUCAUGCAAAUUUGCCUGUAUUGUAAAUGAAAGAAAGCAAAUUCAAAAACAUUCAUUAACCACUUUCCACAACAUUUAGCUUAACAAAAGAAAAAUUACAAUUGAGGGUUUUUCAGUCAACCACUCUUGCAUUAACCAGCACUAAUCUGGCAAUUUAUCUCUCACAAGAUGCUAGAUUUUGGUAGAAGAAAACCAAAGGGAAAAUUGGACGAUGAGAAAACGAGGAGGGAUAAAACUAGAUUUUCAAACAGCACAAGCUCUUAGGAUCCAAUUUUAGAACUAAUAAUCCCUCAUUUAAAGUAUAUAAUAUACAAAGACACUCACAAGGUUAAGAAUAACAGAUAUGUUCUGAGGAAAAAAAAAAGUUACAGCUAUAAGAUAGAUCAUUACAAUCAGAAACAAUUAGUAUGAAAGAGCAUACCUGUACAUGUACUAACUAUAAAUAACAAGCAUAAGAUAUAGUUCUGCUUCAGAGAAUAAAUUUUCAGCUGACUAUUUAUCAUGCCAAAGUUUUAUGUAAAAAUUUG